RNAcentral lists this ribosomal RNA (470 nucleotides) under uncultured bacterium. RNAcentral's name for it is "bacterial SSU rRNA". It matches the Rfam family "Bacterial small subunit ribosomal RNA", at positions 11 to 525 of the family's 1533-position model. The record is from RNAcentral.
GUUUGAUCCUGGCUCAGAGCGAACGCUGGCGGCAGGCUUAACACAUGCAAGUCGAGCGGCCGUAGCAAUACGGCAGCGGCAGACGGGAGAGUAACACGUGGGAACGCGCCCUUCGGUUCGGAAUAACUCAGGGAAACUUGAGCUAAUACCGGAUACGCCCUUACGGGGAAAGAUUCAUCGCCGAAGGAACGGCCCGCGUCCGAUUAGCUAGUUGGUGAGGUAAUGGCUCACCAAGGCAACGAUCGGUAGCUGGUCUAAGAGGAUGAUCAGCCUCACUGGGACUGAGACACGGCCCAGACUCCUACGGGAGGCAGCAGUGGGGAAUAUUGGACAAUGGGCGCAAGCCUGAUCCAGCCAUGCCGCGUGGGUGAUGAAGGCCCUAGGGUUGUAAAGCCCUUUCGGCGGGGAAGAUAAUGACGGUACCCGCAGAAGAAGCCCCGGCUAACUUCGUGCCAGCAGCCGCGGUAAUA